Molecule: ribosomal RNA, 425 nt
Filed under: uncultured bacterium
Lineage: Bacteria
Description: partial 16S ribosomal RNA
Rfam family: Bacterial small subunit ribosomal RNA
Source: RNAcentral
GUGGGGAAUAUUGGACAAUGGGCGCAAGCCUGAUCCAGCCAUGCCGCGUGAGUGAUGAAGGCCUUAGGGUUGUAAAGCUCUUUCAGUAGGGAAGAUAAUGACGGUACCUACAGAAGAAGCCCCGGCUAACUUCGUGCCAGCAGCCGCGGUAAUACGAAGGGGGCUAGCGUUGUUCGGAUUUACUGGGCGUAAAGCGCACGUAGGCGGAUUGGUCAGUUAGAGGUGAAAUCCCGAAGCUCAACUUCGGAACUGCCUUUAAUACUGCCAGUCUCGAGUCCGGAAGAGGUGAGUGGAACUCCUAGUGUAGAGGUGGAAUUCGUAGAUAUUCGCAAGAACACCAGUGGCGAAGGCGGCUCACUGGCCCGGUACUGACGCUGAGGUGCGAAAGCGUGGGGAGCAAACAGGAUUAGAUACCCGUGUAGUCC